UCCUACGGGAGGCAGCAGUGGGGAAUAUUGGACAAUGGGCGAAAGCCUGAUCCAGCCAUGCCGCGUGUGUGAAGAAGGUCUUCGGAUUGUAAAGCACUUUAAGUUGGGAGGAAGGGCAGUAAGUUAAUACCUUGCUGUUUGACGUACCGACAGAA
This 155-nucleotide ribosomal RNA is filed under the name Pseudomonas sp. NB331. Its description in RNAcentral is "partial 16S ribosomal RNA". It matches the Rfam family "Bacterial small subunit ribosomal RNA", at positions 337 to 486 of the family's 1533-position model. Lineage: Bacteria; Pseudomonadati; Pseudomonadota; Gammaproteobacteria; Pseudomonadales; Pseudomonadaceae. The record is from RNAcentral.